AUUGAACGCUGGCGGAAUGCUUAACACAUGCAAGUCGAACGCGAAAGUCCUUCGGGGCGAGUAGAGUGGCGGACGGGUGAGUAACGCGUGGGAAUCUACCCUAGAGCGGGGGACGAACCCGGGGAAACCCGGGCGUAAUACCGCAUACGUCCUACGGGAGAAAGAGGGCCUCUGCUUGCACGCUCUCACUCCAGGAUGAGCCCACCGUCCGAUUAGCUAGUUGGUAGGGUAAAGGCCCACCAAGGCCACGAUCGGUAGCUGGUCUGAGAGGAUGAUCAGCCACACUGGGACUGAGACACGGCCCAGACUCCUACGGGAGGCAGCAGUGGGGAAGUAUUGGACAAUGGGCGGCAAGCCUGAUCCAGCAAUGCCGCGUGAGUGAUGAAGGCCUUAGGGUUGUAAAGCUCUUUACCUAGGGAUGAU
This 423-nucleotide ribosomal RNA is filed under the name uncultured bacterium. Its description in RNAcentral is "bacterial SSU rRNA". It matches the Rfam family "Bacterial small subunit ribosomal RNA", at positions 30 to 449 of the family's 1533-position model. The record is from RNAcentral.